GGCGGGUUGGCGAAACGGUACCGCGCAGGCGUGCAAAGCCUGAGAUCCUGGUUCGAUUCCAGGGCCCGCCUCCA
Molecule: transfer RNA, 74 nt
Filed under: Alphaproteobacteria bacterium
Lineage: Bacteria; Pseudomonadati; Pseudomonadota; Alphaproteobacteria
Also listed under: 1 other name
Description: tRNA-Cys
Rfam family: tRNA
About the family: Transfer RNA (tRNA) molecules are approximately 80 nucleotides in length. Their secondary structure includes four short double-helical elements and three loops (D, anti-codon, and T loops). Further hydrogen bonds mediate the characteristic L-shaped molecular structure. tRNAs have two regions of fundamental functional importance: the anti-codon, which is responsible for specific mRNA codon recognition, and the 3' end, to which the tRNAs corresponding amino acid is attached (by aminoacyl-tRNA synthetases). tRNAs cope with the degeneracy of the genetic code in two manners: having more than one tRNA (with a specific anti-codon) for a particular amino acid; and 'wobble' base-pairing, i.e. permitting non-standard base-pairing at the 3rd anti-codon position.
Source: RNAcentral